UACGUAGGUGACCAGCGUUGUCCGGAUUUACUGGGCGUAAAGAGCGCGCAGGCGGUCGUUCAAGUCGAGUGUGAAAGCCCCCGGCUCAACUGGGGAGGGUCACUCGAUACUGAUCGACUUGAAGGCAGGAGAGGGAAGCGGAAUUCCCGGUGUAGUGGUGAAAUGCGUAGAUAUCGGGAGGAACACCAGUGGCGAAGGCGGCUUCCUGGCCUGUUCUUGACGCUGAGGCGCGAAAGCUAGGGGAGCAAACAGG
Molecule: ribosomal RNA, 253 nt
Filed under: uncultured bacterium
Lineage: Bacteria
Description: partial 16S ribosomal RNA
Rfam family: Bacterial small subunit ribosomal RNA
Source: RNAcentral